AGAGUUUGAUCAUGGCUCAGGAUGAACGCUGGCGGCAUGCCUAAUACAUGCAAGUCGAACGAAGUCUUUUGAAAGCUUGCUUUUAAAAGACUUAGUGGCGAACGGGUGAGUAACACGUAGGGAACCUGCCCAUGUACCCGGGAUAACAGAUGGAAACGUCUGCUAAAACCGGAUAGGUAUAGACAAGGCAUCUUGACUAUAUUAAAGGACCUUCGGGUGCGGACAUGGAUGGACCUGCGGCGUAUUAGCCAGUUGGCGGGGUAACGGCCCACCAAAGCGAUGAUACGUAGCCGGCCUGAGAGGGUAGACGGCCACAUUGGGACUGAGACACGGCCCAAACUCCUACGGGAGGCAGCAGUAGGGAAUUUUCGUCAAUGGGGGAAACCCUGAACGAGCAAUGCCGCGUGAGUGAAGAAGGCCUUCGGGUCGUAAAGCUCUGUUGUAAGAGAAAAACGGUAAUGAUAGGAAAUGAUCAUUAAGUGAUGGUAUCUUACGAGGAAGCCACGGCUAACUACGUGCCAGCAGCCGCGGUAAUACGUAGGUGGCAAGCGUUAUCCGGAAUGAUUGGGCGUAAAGGGUGCGCAAGCGGAACCAUAAGUCUGAAGUAAAAGCCAUCGGCUCAACCGAUGUAAGCUUUGGAAACUGUGGAUCUAGAGUGCAGGAGAGGA
This 668-nucleotide ribosomal RNA is filed under the name uncultured bacterium. Its description in RNAcentral is "bacterial SSU rRNA". It matches the Rfam family "Bacterial small subunit ribosomal RNA", at positions 8 to 658 of the family's 1533-position model. The record is from RNAcentral.